AAGCUUGAGUCUCGUAGAGGGGGGUAGAAUUCCAGGUGUAGCGGUGAAAUGCGUAGAGAUCUGGAGGAAUACCGGUGGCGAAGGCGGCCCCCUGGACGAAGACUGACGCUCAGGUGCGAAAGCGUGGGGAGCAAACAGGAUUAGAUACCCUGGUAGUCCACGCCGUAAACGAUGUCGACUUGGAGGUUGUGCCCUUGAGGCGUGGCUUCCGGAGCUAACGCGUUAAGUCGACCGCCUGGGGAGUACGGCCGCAAGGUUAAAACUCAAAUGAAUUGACGGGGGCCCGCACAAGCGGUGGAGCAUGUGGUUUAAUUCGAUGCAACGCGAAGAACCUUACCUGGUCUUGACAUCCACGGAAGUUUUCAGAGAUGAGAAUGUGCCUUCGGGAACCGUGAGACAGGUGCUGCAUGGCUGUCGUCAGCUCGUGUUGUGAAAUGUUGGGUUAAGUCCCGCAACGAGCGCAACCCUUAUCCUUUGUUGCCAGCGGUCCGGCCGGGAACUCAAAGGAGACUGCCAGUGAUAAACUGGAGGAAGGUGGGGAUGACGUCAAGUCAUCAUGGCCCUUACGACCAGGGCUACACACGUGCUACAAUGGCGCAUACAAAGAGAAGCGACCUCGCGAGAGCAAGCGGACCUCAUAAAGUGCGUCGUAGUCCGGAUUGGAGUCUGCAACUCGACUCCAUGAAGUCGGAAUCGCUAGUAAUCGUGGAUCAGAAUGCCACGGUGAAUACGUUCCCGGGCCUUGUACACACCGCCCGUCACACCAUGGGAGUGGGUUGCAAAAGAAGUAGGUAGCUUAACCUUCGGGAGGGCGCUUACCACUUUGUGAUUCAUGACUGGGGUGAAGUCGUAACAAGGUAACCGUAGGGGAACCUGCGGUUGGAUCACCUCCUUACCUUAAAGAAGC
Molecule: ribosomal RNA, 907 nt
Filed under: Escherichia coli
Lineage: Bacteria; Pseudomonadati; Pseudomonadota; Gammaproteobacteria; Enterobacterales; Enterobacteriaceae
Description: bacterial SSU rRNA
Rfam family: Bacterial small subunit ribosomal RNA
Source: RNAcentral